Molecule: unclassified non-coding RNA, 258 nt
Filed under: fungal sp.
Lineage: Eukaryota; Fungi
Description: partial internal transcribed spacer region
Rfam family: Eukaryotic small subunit ribosomal RNA (bases 1-46)
Source: RNAcentral
AAGUCGUAACAAGGUUUUCGUAGGUGAACCUGCGGAAGGAUCAUUAGUGAACUUUGACAACAAAGUCUGGGAGUCUUCUCGCCUUUGCAAAAGGGCGGUUGACCCUUUCUUUUCGUUCAAUCCACUACCAUACACACUGUGCACAUGUCCCUUUUCAUAACCAAGAUUUUUACGCUUGUGUUCAUUAAAAAAUGUCCAGAAUGUAAAACCUUUGAUAAAAAGAAAGUAUAACUUUCAGCAAUGGAUCUCUUGGCUCUC